AUUGAACGCUGGCGGCAGGCCUAACACAUGCAAGUCGAGCGGAUGAAGGGAGCUUGCUCCUGGAUUCAGCGGCGGACGGGUGAGUAAUGCCUAGGAAUCUGCCUGGUAGUGGGGGAUAACGUCCGGAAACGGGCGCUAAUACCGCAUACGUCCUGAGGGAGAAAGUGGGGGAUCUUCGGACCUCACGCUAUCAGAUGAGCCUAGGUCGGAUUAGCUAGUUGGUGGGGUAAAGGCCUACCAAGGCGACGAUCCGUAACUGGUCUGAGAGGAUGAUCAGUCACACUGGAACUGAGACACGGUCCAGACUCCUACAGGAGGAAGCAGUCGGGAAUAUUAGACCAUGGGCGAAAGCCUAAUCCAGCCAUACGGCGUGUGUGAAGAAGGUCUUCGGAUUGUAAAGCACUUUAAGUUGGGAGGAAGGGCAGUAAGUUAAUACCUUGCUGUGUUGACGUUACCAACAGAAUAAGCACCGGCUAACUUCGUG
This 484-nucleotide ribosomal RNA is filed under the name uncultured bacterium. RNAcentral describes it as "partial 16S ribosomal RNA". It matches the Rfam family "Bacterial small subunit ribosomal RNA", at positions 30 to 507 of the family's 1533-position model. The record is from RNAcentral.